UGGGGAAUAUUGGACAAUGGGGGAAACCCUGAUCCAGCCAUGCCGCGUGUGUGAAGAAGGCCUUAUGGUUGUAAAGCACUUUAAGCGAGGAGGAGGGUACUGGUAUUAAUACUACCAGCUACUGGACGUUACUCGCAGAAUAAGCACCGGCUAACUCUGUGCCAGCAGCCGCGGUAAUACAGAGGGUGCGAGCGUUAAUCGGAUUUACUGGGCGUAAAGCGUGCGUAGGCGGCUAAUUGAGUCGGAUGUGAAAUCCCCGAGCUUAACUUGGGAAUUGCAUUCGAUACUGGUUAGCUAGAGUGUGGGAGAGGAUGGUAGAAUUCCAGGUGUAGCGGUGAAAUGCGUAGAGAUCUGGAGGAAUACCGAUGGCGAAGGCAGCCAUCUGGCCUAACACUGACGCUGAGGUACGAAAGCAUGGGGAGCAAACAGG
This 430-nucleotide ribosomal RNA is filed under the name Pseudomonadota bacterium. Its description in RNAcentral is "Proteobacteria bacterium partial 16S ribosomal RNA". It matches the Rfam family "Bacterial small subunit ribosomal RNA", at positions 355 to 776 of the family's 1533-position model. The record is from RNAcentral. Lineage: Bacteria; Pseudomonadati; Pseudomonadota.